AACCAGACUCCUACGGGAGGCAGCAGUGGGGAAUAUUGGGCAAUGGGCGCAGGCCUGACCCAGCAACGCCGCGUGAAGGAAGAAGGCUUUCGGGUUGUAAACUUCUUUUCUCAGGGACGAAGCAAGUGACGGUACCUGAGGAAUAAGCCACGGCUAACUACGUGCCAGCAGCCGCGGUAAUACGUAGGUGGCAAGCGUUAUCCGGAUUUACUGGGUGUAAAGGGCGUGUAGGCGGGAAAGCAAGUCAGAUGUGAAAACCAUGGGCUCAACCUGUGGCCUGCAUUUGAAACUGUUGGUCUUGAGUAUCGGAGAGGCAGGCGGAAUUCCUAGUGUAGCGGUGAAAUGCGUAGAUAUUAGGAGGAACACCAGUGGCGAAGGCGGCUUACUGGACUGUAAAUGACGCUGAGGCUCGAAAGCGUGGGGAGCAAACAGGAUUAGAUACCCGCGUA
RNAcentral lists this ribosomal RNA (449 nucleotides) under uncultured bacterium. RNAcentral's name for it is "bacterial SSU rRNA". It matches the Rfam family "Bacterial small subunit ribosomal RNA", at positions 329 to 792 of the family's 1533-position model. The record is from RNAcentral.